GGAAGGAAGGAAGGAAGGAUAGAAGGAAGAAAGGACAAGUCUGCUUGCAGUGGUUCCCUUCUUAGUGUGGACUGUUGUGAUAAUGGACAAGGUUAUCCCAAAUCUACUUAUUUAUCCAGUGAUAAAAAUGAGCUGGAAGGCCUUUGAAAGAUUCAUGUGAUAUACAGCACCGACUUCUAACAGUUUUUCCUGUUUUGUGUUCAAUAAGGCACUCCCAUAUCCUAAGUACAUGAAUUUAUGGUAUACUUGGGACUAGUCCUGACCAAAAGACUGGCAACUUCCAUCACACCCCAGAACAAGGACUAACAUAAAUACUGUUCUUAGUACUUCUGGACAAGAUCACUUUUACACCUAGGCCCUGCCCUAUCUUUUGGGUAACUAGGCUGAAGCACUGUAUCAAAGAGAGUGUGUGUGUCAUCACAAUGGGUAUGAUGUCACAGACUGAGGGCAGGGUGGUUUGUGAGGUAUAAUGACAGCACAUUUGGUUCCAGUUCAGUUCCUUACUGCUACUGGUGAAAUGAAAACCUUGGAGAGCAGUCUUCCAAAGAGAUGCCAAGAAAGCUUCCUAGACGAUUAGGCUCUCUACCCCGCCACCCUCCUCAAGCUUCUCCUCCCUCUUAUUGUUCAAAUCCCGUUCAGUUUCUGUUUAUGGAACAUUCUGCCUAUAGACAAACCACAAAAACCAAUUCAAAUUCUGUUUCCCAUACUCUCCAUUUCCCUUCUAUGAGGCACAUAGUCUUGUUCUCUACCUUAACAGCCUGUUCGCCAAACAUUUUCUCUAUUCCCGAAAGUUCUACUAAGUGUCCUGCUCUCAUUUCUCCAUUUCCCUAUGAUGCCAAUUUUCCCUCUACUCCUUCUAACAGCCCCACUGAAUCAUACCCUGUUUUGUCACACUCACCAAGAGGACAGCUACUGUCUGCCAGACUGAAUAAGACACACUUUGAAGCCAAGAAGCGGAUUUAGCAGACUCACUGAGAGACAUCCAAAAGAAUCUAAGAGAAACCAAUGUCUUCCAGAAGCUACAGAAUCACCAGAAAGCCGUGAAGAUAAGACAUCUUUGAUAGAAUUUCACAUGAUCACUGGAUAUCAUUAGGUUCAUCAGGGUAAAAGGAAGAAAUCCCUAAGACACAAAGACUGCAAGUGAAGAAGAAGGUUAGGGAUGAGAGCUCUCCAUGACUGUAAUUUCUUCCAGAGAAUUAGGAGGCACAGACUCAAUACAGAUGGACAUAAGCUAAGGGGUAGGACAAAGGUGACUGUAGAAUUCUGGAAUUCUAACUAGUUUGUAUGACUGUUGGUGAAGUGUUAAACAAUUUCAUGAUUCAGUUUCUUUAAAUAUACAUGUUAUGAAAUUA
Molecule: long non-coding RNA, 1352 nt
Organism: Rattus norvegicus (Norway rat)
Lineage: Eukaryota; Metazoa; Chordata; Mammalia; Rodentia; Muridae
Source: RefSeq, a predicted model, not a curated record